This is a non-coding RNA of Taeniopygia guttata (zebra finch), 999 nucleotides long. The record is from RefSeq and is a predicted model, not a curated record. Lineage: Eukaryota; Metazoa; Chordata; Aves; Passeriformes; Estrildidae.
UUUUUUUUUUUUUUGUAAACAGCUUUUAUUGUUUGUGAAAAAAAAACCCAAAACAACUGUAUUGAAGGCUCUAAGAACCUGAAAUCCUUUCAGCAGCUUCAGAUUAGGUGCAUUGAGUCAUCCCCAAUGUGAGCUUCCAGUUAAAUGUGGGAAAAGAUCACCACAAUGACCUGACUAAGCAGAGAAGUAGUACUCAUACCCACUGAGAUGUUUUCUUAAGAAACAGUAAGAAAACUUUAGCUAUUGUAGACAAGCCUCAUUACUUGUGCAGGUACUUUGUGUCCUCUCUGAAUAACAGAAGUUCAUGGCUAUUUGGCUUAGAACAUUCACUACAUCUUAGAAAUAGAUUCCUGUUAUUAAAAGAGCAAUCAUCUUUCUCCAUUUCACUCUAGAAAUUCCAAAGUUAAAUGCUGUGUCAAAGAGAAGCCAUUUGCUUGGUCACUUCUUGUGCAGCAGGGAAAAACACCAAAAACAAAAAUACCAAAACAUAAGGAAUAAACCAAAUAUAUGUACUGCAAAUGAUCUGAAUAUUUAGAUUUGCUCAGUGUCCUCCUGAUCUCCUUGUUCUCAGAAGAUCCACCUGAAUGGGAGAUCUCAGCUGUGUGUUCUGGGAAGGCUGAGAAGAAUUCAUCUCUCCUGAGCUGCUGCUGUAGGUUGGCAUCACAAAAGUCUCUGAUGUUUCCCUUUGUAUGAUUCUGGCUUGGCAGGGGAGACAGGAACUUACAGAACUUCCAUUUUGCUGUUAACAUCUUACUCCAAUUGGAAAAAAAGAAUAAAUGACUUACAGAUCUCCUUAACUAUCCACUCCUGAAAUUCUAAUGACUUUUAUGAAUGUUGCUCUUUUACACUCCAGCAGGAUUACACGGUUCGUCGUGUUUUAUCAGAGCGUUACAAAUGUUGUUUUGCUGACUUCUUGAGAGAAGCUCCUCUGUCUUUUCCAUAAAUAAUUAAUGUCCCCAAAUGCUGGAUGUGGAUUCAUUAAAGCUUUAUUAUACUGUC